Molecule: ribosomal RNA, 741 nt
Filed under: Bacillus anthracis (anthrax bacterium)
Lineage: Bacteria; Bacillati; Bacillota; Bacilli; Caryophanales; Bacillaceae
Description: bacterial SSU rRNA
Rfam family: Bacterial small subunit ribosomal RNA
Source: RNAcentral
CUAAUACAUGCAAGUCGAGCGAACCGAUUAAGAGCUUGCUCUUAAGAAGUUAGCGGCGGACGGGUGAGUAACACGUAGGUAACCUGCCUAUAAGACUGGGAUAACUCCGGGAAACCGGGGCUAAUACCGGAUAACAUUUUGCACCGCAUGGUGCGAAAUUGAAAGGCGGCUUCGGCUGUCACUUAUAGAUGGACCUGCGGCGCAUUAGCUAGUUGGUGAGGUAACGGCUCACCAAGGCGACGAUGCGUAGCCGACCUGAGAGGGUGAUCGGCCACACUGGGACUGAGACACGGCCCAGACUCCUACGGGAGGCAGCAGUAGGGAAUCUUCCGCAAUGGACGAAAGUCUGACGGAGCAACGCCGCGUGAGCGAUGAAGGCCUUCGGGUCGUAAAGCUCUGUUGUUAGGGAAGAACAAGUGCUAGUUGAAUAAGCUGGCACCUUGACGGUACCUAACCAGAAAGCCACGGCUAACUACGUGCCAGCAGCCGCGGUAAUACGUAGGUGGCAAGCGUUAUCCGGAAUUAUUGGGCGUAAAGCGCGCGCAGGUGGUUUCUUAAGUCUGAUGUGAAAGCCCACGGCUCAACCGUGGAGGGUCAUUGGAAACUGGGAGACUUGAGUGCAGAAGAGGAAAGUGGAAUUCCAUGUGUAGCGGUGAAAUGCGUAGAGAUAUGGAGGAACACCAGUGGCGAAGGCGACUUUCUGGUCUGCAACUGACACUGAGGCGCGAAAGCGGAGCCCCC